RNAcentral lists this ribosomal RNA (426 nucleotides) under uncultured bacterium. Its description in RNAcentral is "bacterial SSU rRNA". It matches the Rfam family "Bacterial small subunit ribosomal RNA", at positions 355 to 773 of the family's 1533-position model. The record is from RNAcentral.
UGGGGAAUUUUGGACAAUGGGCGCAAGCCUGAUCCAGCAAUGCCGCAUGCAGGAUGAAGGCCUUCGGGUUGUAAACUGCUUUUGUACGGAACGAAACGGCUCUGUCCAAUACAUGGGGCUAAUGACGGUACCGUAAGAAUAAGCACCGGCUAACUACGUGCCAGCAGCCGCGGUAAUACGUAGGGUGCGCGCGUUAAUCGGAAUUACUGGGCGUAAAGCGUGCGCAGGCGGUUAUAUAAGACAGAUGUGAAAUCCCCGGGCUCAACCUGGGACCUGCAUUUGUGACUGUAUAGCUGGAGUACGGUAGGGGGGGAUGGAAUUCCGCGUGUAGCAGUGAAAUGCGUAGAUAUGCGGAGGAACACCGAUGGCGAAGGCAAUCCCCUGGACCUGUACUGACGCUCAUGCACAAAAGCGUGGGGAGCAAAC